GACGAACGCUGGCGGCGUGCCUAAUACAUGCAAGUCGAACGCUUCUUUCCUCCCGAGUGCUUGCACUCAAUUGGAAAGAGGAGUGGCGGACGGGUGAGUAACACGUGGGUAACCUACCCAUCAGAGGGGGAUAACACUUGGAAACAGGUGCUAAUACCGCAUAACAGUUUAUGCCGCAUGGCAUAAGAGUGAAAGGCGCUUUCGGGUGUCGCUGAUGGAUGGACCCGCGGUGCAUUAGCUAGUUGGUGAGGUAACGGCUCACCAAGGCCACGAUGCAUAGCCGACCGGAGAGGGUGAUCGGCCACACUGGGACUGAGACACGGCCCAGACUCCUACGGGAGGCAGCAGUAGGGAAUCUUCGGCAAUGGACGAAAGUCUGACCGAGCAACGCCGCGUGAGUGAAGAAGGUUUUCGGAUCGUAAAACUCUGUUGUUAGAGAAGAACAAGGACGUUAGUAACUGAACGUCCCCUGACGGUAUCUAACCAGAAAGCCACGGCUAACUACGUG
This 508-nucleotide ribosomal RNA is filed under the name uncultured bacterium. Its description in RNAcentral is "partial 16S ribosomal RNA". It matches the Rfam family "Bacterial small subunit ribosomal RNA", at positions 28 to 507 of the family's 1533-position model. The record is from RNAcentral.